Molecule: long non-coding RNA, 855 nt
Filed under: Monodelphis domestica (gray short-tailed opossum)
Lineage: Eukaryota; Metazoa; Chordata; Mammalia; Didelphimorphia; Didelphidae
Description: lncRNA (ENSMODG00000051517.1)
Source: RNAcentral
CUCUGGCCCCCCACCAUAGGCACCUUUUGAAUUUUUAUUCCUGUUUCCAUCCUACCUGCAGUUGCCAAGAGCCAAACAAUGACGAUAAGGUAAAGGACCCUCAUGGUGAUACUCAGUGUAACCUCAGUGGACCUGGACAGAAGAGAUGCAAUGCACGGGUGGACCAGAGGCUCCUUCAGCCACUGUCCAGCUCUUCUCAAUGCAGGCUCUCUGCCUAGACACACCCAUCGCUCAUGUGCUCUCAGCUGUUGUCUAACCAUUAAGAGAGCUUCUGUUGUCUGGAAUUCUGAGACUCAGAGGUGCUUCUUCGAUAAGUCACAAAUGAGAAUGAGUCAUGGAAGCUGGGAUUUUGUUCUGGUUCUGCUGUUUACCACCCACGAAGAAGACAUUUGCAAAAGAACUGUGCAAUGCAAACUUUCAAGUGAUUGACAGAGAGUCACAUGGGAGCCUAAGGGUCAAGAUCUGGGUAAAGGUUCUAGGGUUCCAACCGAAACUUCACUUCACUCCUGAAGGACCUUGGAUUGGAGGUUUUACAUCAGGUUUCUGGCUUUUGUGAUACCAGCUGAAGAGAGAGGAAUCCCGCUUGGACUGGCUGCUGGCAGCUAGAACAGAGGACUAAAGACUCACUUCUCCACUGGACCUGAUUUGGACAGUUUUCAUCUGAAGAUCCUGGCCCACUGACUGGACUCCUUUUGUGAGAUUUUGUGUUGGGGAAACUUAAUGUUUUUAUCUUAGAUAAGUUAGGGUAAGAUAGGCUUAUAGAAAUUAGGGUUUAAUUGUAAUAAUUUUCCUUACCCUUUUUCCUUUCCCUUUCCCAAAAAUAAACCCGAUUUUUAUAUGUUUCUUUCUUGUUCU